Molecule: ribosomal RNA, 258 nt
Filed under: uncultured bacterium
Lineage: Bacteria
Description: partial 16S ribosomal RNA
Rfam family: Bacterial small subunit ribosomal RNA
Source: RNAcentral
CUGUCCUACGGGGGGCAGCAGUGGGGAAUAUUGGGCAAUGGGCGCAAGCCUGACCCAGCAACGCCGCGUGAAGGAAGAAGGCUUUCGGGUUGUAAACUUCUUUUCUCAGGGACGAAGCAAGUGACGGUACCUGAGGAAUAAGCCACGGCUAACUACGUGCCAGCAGCCGCGGUAAUACGUAGGUGGCAAGCGUUACCCGGAUUUACUGGGUGUAAAGGGCGUGUAGGCGGGGACGCAAGUCAGAUGUGAAAACCACGG